This 850-nucleotide unclassified non-coding RNA is filed under the name Aspergillus pseudoglaucus. RNAcentral's name for it is "sequence contains ITS1, 5.8S rRNA gene and ITS2". Lineage: Eukaryota; Fungi; Ascomycota; Eurotiomycetes; Eurotiales; Aspergillaceae. The record is from RNAcentral.
GCGAGGCUAGCUGCCAGCUGGACCUACGGGAGCGGGUGACAAAGCCCCAUACGCUCGAGGACCAGACAUGGUGCCGCCACUGCCUUUUGGGCCCGUCCCCGUUACCAGGGACGGAAGCCCAACACACAAGCCGUGCUUGAGGGCAGCAAUGACGCUCGGACAGGCAUGCCCCCCGGAAUACCAGGGGGCGCAAUGUGCGUUCAAAGACUCGAUGAUUCACUGAAUUCUGCAAUUCACAUUAAUUAUCGCAUUUCGCUGCGUUCUUCAUCGAUGCCGGAACCAAGAGAUCCGUUGUUGAAAGUUUUAAUUAUUGUUUAACUAAAAACUCACACUGCAAACUUCACACAGUGUUCAAAUGUUAGUCUUCGGCGGGCCGUGGCCCCGCAAAAACAGGAUGGAAAUAAUAAAUGAUGAGAGGGGGGACGGCCAAAUAAAGGCACGCCUCAGUGAUGAACCCACCCGUACGAUUACCCUAAAAAAAACGAUACAUGAACUGCAACCACCCUGUAUCAUACUAUAUCACAUCUACUUUUUCUACUCUAUUGUAUUAAUAUACUCUAUAUAUUCCUAUGUAUUCAUAUCAAGCAAAAAUAUUAAUGCCAUAACAUAUUUUUAUAUAUUUCAUAACACCCUUAAUUAUAUAUACUAAUAAAUUUAUAAUAUAAAAUUUAUCAAACUUCAGUGAUCAAAUACCACACACCUGCUAACCCCUUGUAUACUAAACUUUUUAUUCUUAUAACAUUUAUUAUUUUAUUCUUUUUAAAUAAUAGACCAAAGAAACGAAAUUCUUCUUCCCUUACGGACGGAUAAUUAUAUCACAUACACAAAUAAAAUCAAGGAUAAUAUAUAU